CCUUUAGCGACACAAGUAUUAAAGGUCAUGCCUGCCCAGUGAAGCAUUUUUAACGGCCGCGGUAUUCUAACCGUGCAAAGGUAGCGUAAUCAUUUGUCUUCUAAAUAAAGACCAGUAUGAAUGGUUAAAUGAGGACGAACCUGUCUCCUACAGCUCAUCAGUGAAACUGAUCUCCCAGUCCAAAAGCUGGAAUAUUAACAUAAGACGAGAAGACCCUGUGGAGCUUAAAAUUAAGUUAUUAACAAUAAACAACUAGUACAAAAUUUUAAGUUGGGGCGACUUCGGAACAAAAUAAAACUUCCAAGCACAGAACCACUAUUUCUAACCAAGGCCCACAAGCCAAAGAUAAAAGUUGACCCAGUCAUACUGACCAACGAACCAAGUUACCCCAGGGAUAACAGCGCUAUCUUCUUCGAGAGUCCAUAUCGACAAGAAGGUUUACGACCUCGAUGUUGGAUCAGGGCACCCCAAUGGUGCAACCGCUAUUAAAGGUUCGUUUGUUC
Molecule: ribosomal RNA, 503 nt
Filed under: Hemiergis peronii (lowlands earless skink)
Lineage: Eukaryota; Metazoa; Chordata; Lepidosauria; Squamata; Scincidae
Description: partial 16S ribosomal RNA
Rfam family: Bacterial large subunit ribosomal RNA
Source: RNAcentral